Molecule: ribosomal RNA, 253 nt
Filed under: uncultured bacterium
Lineage: Bacteria
Description: partial 16S ribosomal RNA
Rfam family: Bacterial small subunit ribosomal RNA
Source: RNAcentral
UACGGAGGGAGCUAGCGUUGUUCGGAAUUACUGGGCGUAAAGCGCACGUAGGCGGCUUUGUAGGUUAGAGGUGAAAGCCUGGGGCUCAACUCCAGAAUUGCCUUUAAGACUGCAUCGCUUGAAUCAUGGAGAGGCGAGUGGAAUUCCGAGUGUAGAGGUGAAAUUCGUAGAUAUUCGGAAGAACACCAGUGGCGAAGGCGGCUCGCUGGACAUGUAUUGACGCUGAGGUGCGAAAGCGUGGGGAGCAAACAGG